GCCAGACUCCUACGGGAGGCAGCAGUGGGGAAUAUUGGGCAAUGGGCGCAAGCCUGACCCAGUAACGCCGCGUGAAGGAAGAAGGCUUUCGGGUUGUAAACUUCUUUUCUCAGGGACGAAGCAAGUGACGGUACCUGAGGAAUAAGCCACGGCUAACUACGUGCCAGCAGCCGCGGUAAUACGUAGGUGGCAAGCGUUAUCCGGAUUUACUGGGUGUAAAGGGCGUGUAGGCGGGAAAGCAAGUCAGAUGUGAAAACCAUGGGCUCAACCUGUGGCCUGCAUUUGAAACUGUUUUUCUUGAGUACUGGAGAGGCAGACGGAAUUCCUAGUGUAGCGGUGAAAUGCGUAGAUAUUAGGAAGAACACCAGUGGCGAAGGCGGCUUGCUGGACAGUAACUGACGUUGAGGCUCGAAAGCGUGGGGAGCAAACAGGAUUAGAUACCCGAGUA
This 448-nucleotide ribosomal RNA is filed under the name uncultured bacterium. RNAcentral describes it as "bacterial SSU rRNA". It matches the Rfam family "Bacterial small subunit ribosomal RNA", at positions 330 to 792 of the family's 1533-position model. The record is from RNAcentral.